Molecule: long non-coding RNA, 291 nt
Filed under: Brassica rapa (field mustard)
Lineage: Eukaryota; Viridiplantae; Streptophyta; Magnoliopsida; Brassicales; Brassicaceae
Description: long non-coding RNA (BRAP_LNC008735)
Source: RNAcentral
CGGAUCAACAGAUUGGGGUCUAAGCAUCUCUAGCUCAGACCAAAGGGCUCUGAACUUGCCUAGAUGCGCAGUGAACUCCUUAUCCAAAAGGGAUAGGAUGUUGAUGGACUUCUUGAUCUCAAAUACUCGGCUGAUGUUGGAGAUGUUCCCAUAUAUCUUGUUAAGUGUACUCCAAAGGUCUUUAGCACUCUCACAGUAUGAGUAUGCUUCAAGGAUGGAUGGAGACAGUGAGCUAUGGAGAAUGGAUAAGACCUUGAGGUCUUCUUGUUCCCACUUCUCCUCAGAUACAGA